RNAcentral lists this ribosomal RNA (369 nucleotides) under uncultured microorganism. RNAcentral's name for it is "bacterial SSU rRNA". It matches the Rfam family "Archaeal small subunit ribosomal RNA", at positions 330 to 670 of the family's 1478-position model. The record is from RNAcentral.
GCGCACCAGGCGCGAAACCUUUACAAUAUCUUCACGGACGAUAGGGGAAUCCUGAGUGCUCUAGCAUUGCUAGAGCUUUUGCUUACUGAAAAAGGUAGGCGAAUAAGUGGUGGGUAAGACGGGUGCCAGCCGCCGCGGUAAUACCCGCGCCACAAGUGGUGACCACGUUUAUUGGGUCUAAAGCGUUCGUAGCCGGCCUGAUAAAUUCUCGGUGAAAUCCCUGUGUAAAUCAUAGGGCGUGCCGGGAAGACUGUCAAGCUAGGAACCGGGAGAGGCUGAGGGUACUCCAGGAGUAGGGGUUAAAUGCCGUUAUGGUUUAACCCUACGGUUUAACAAUCCUGUAAUUCUUGGAGGACCACCGGUGGCGAA